RNAcentral lists this ribosomal RNA (253 nucleotides) under uncultured bacterium. RNAcentral describes it as "partial 16S ribosomal RNA". It matches the Rfam family "Bacterial small subunit ribosomal RNA", at positions 524 to 776 of the family's 1533-position model. The record is from RNAcentral.
UACAGAGGUCCCAAGCGUUGUUCGGAUUCACUGGGCGUAAAGGGUGCGUAGGUGGCUUGAAAAGUUUGAUGUGAAAGCUCAGGGCUUAACCCUGAAAUGGCAUUGAAUACUGUCGAGCUGGAGGUUUGGAGGGGGGACUGGAAUUCUUGGUGUAGCAGUGAAAUGCGUAGAUAUCAAGAGGAACACCAGUGGCGAAGGCGAGUCCCUGGACAACACCUGACACUGAGGCACGAAAGCUAGGGGAGCAAACAGG